GCAGCCGUGGCCGAGCGGUUAAGGCGACUGACUUGAAAUCAGUUUCCCUCUGGGAGCGUAGGUUCGAAUCCUACCGGCUGCG
This is a non-coding RNA of Thrips palmi, 82 nucleotides long. Lineage: Eukaryota; Metazoa; Arthropoda; Insecta; Thysanoptera; Thripidae. The record is from the annotation of a RefSeq genome assembly.